This 429-nucleotide ribosomal RNA is filed under the name Chloroflexota bacterium. Its description in RNAcentral is "Chloroflexi bacterium partial 16S ribosomal RNA". It matches the Rfam family "Bacterial small subunit ribosomal RNA", at positions 355 to 776 of the family's 1533-position model. Lineage: Bacteria; Bacillati; Chloroflexota. The record is from RNAcentral.
UGGGGAAUAUUGCACAAUGGGCGCAAGCCUGAUGCAGCCAUGCCGCGUGUGUGAAGAAGGCCUUCGGGUUGUAAAGCACUUUCAGCGGGGAGGAAGGCGGUGAGGUUAAUAACCUCAUCGAUUGACGUUACCCGCAGAAGAAGCACCGGCUAACUCCGUGCCAGCAGCCGCGGUAAUACGGAGGGUGCAAGCGUUUAUCGGAAUUACUGGGCGUAAAGCGCACGCAGGCGGUCUGUCAAGUCGGAUGUGAAAUCCCCGGGCUCAACCUGGGAACUGCAUUCGAAACUGGCAGGCUAGAGGCUUGUAGAGGGGGGUAGAAUUCCAGGUGUAGCGGUGAAAUGCGUAGAGAUCUGGAGGAAUACCGGUGGCGAAGGCGGCCCCCUGGACAAAGACUGACGCUCAGGUGCGAAAGCGUGGGGAGCAAACAGG